This 392-nucleotide long non-coding RNA is filed under the name Panax ginseng (ginseng). RNAcentral's name for it is "long non-coding RNA (PGIN_LNC016080)". The record is from RNAcentral. Lineage: Eukaryota; Viridiplantae; Streptophyta; Magnoliopsida; Apiales; Araliaceae.
CCCAAUUGCACAAAGAAAGUCACAAUUCACAACCCAUAAAAGGAUAGUUCAUCUGGUAGGCAAAAAUCAGGAAGAGAUUAGUUCAUCUGUUAGGCAAUAAUCAGGAAGAGGAUGGUGAGAGCCAAUUCAACAAAAUUGUGGAUAUCAUGUGCUUAGGCAAAUGAACAAAACUCGUGAGGAUGUCCUUAAAUCCCAUUACCAGUUACCUACCUCUAUGGUUCUGUUAUCUUCUCCCAUGUGAUUUUCCUGAACCUCAGGUCUGUUUCAACUGUCCCCACUUAUGCUAGAUAAAGCUUCAUAAUAGCAUCCUAUAUACAUAACAUAUAUAUCAGGACCAGCUAAGCGGAUGCUACCAAACAGUUUGGCCGACGAGUUUGAAGUUUGGAUAUUAU